This 497-nucleotide ribosomal RNA is filed under the name uncultured bacterium. RNAcentral's name for it is "partial 16S ribosomal RNA". It matches the Rfam family "Bacterial small subunit ribosomal RNA", at positions 28 to 507 of the family's 1533-position model. The record is from RNAcentral.
GAUGAACGCUGGCGGCGUGCCUAAUACAUGCAAGUCGAGCGAACAGAUGAGGAGCUUGCUCCUCUGACGUUAGCGGCGGACGUGUGAGUAACACGUGGAUAACCUACUUAUAAGACUGGGAUAACCUCGGGAAACCGGAUCUAAUACCGGAUAAGAUAUUGAACCGCGUGGUUCAAUAGUGAAAGACGGUUUUGCUGGCACUUAUAGAUGGAUCCGCGCCGCAUUAGCUAGUUGGUAAGGUAACGGCUUACCAAGGCAACGAUGCGUAGCCGACCUGAGGGGGUGAUCGCCCACACUGGAACUGAGCCACGGUCCAGACUCCUACGGGAGGCAGCAGUAGGGAAUCUUCCGCAAUGGGCGAAAGCCUGACGGAGCAACGCCGAGUGAGUGAUGAAGGUCUUCGGAUCGUAAAACUCUGUUAUUAGGGAAGAACAAAUGUGUAAGUAACUAUGCACGUCUUGACGGUACCUAAUCAGAAAGCCACGGCUAACUACGUG